This 5194-nucleotide long non-coding RNA is filed under the name Marmota monax (woodchuck). Lineage: Eukaryota; Metazoa; Chordata; Mammalia; Rodentia; Sciuridae. The record is from RNAcentral.
UUUUAUUAAAGGAAGUGAGUCAGACACAGAAAGUCAAAUGCUCUAUAGUUCAUAUUCAGUGGCACCGUAACAUGCAGCUGUAGAUGAGUAAGUCCUUCACAGCAGAUGUACAAAUGUGAGUGUAGACAAAAUAAUCUCUUAUGUACCUUAAUGCUACUAAGAGAGUCGCUACCUCAUCAUUCUCAUGAAUAUAGAAAAUGUAACUAUGAUGUAAUCAAUAUGAAAGUUGGCUUGAUUGUAGGAACCAUAUACCAAUGUAGACAUAUAUCAAACAUCAUGUUGAACACCUACAAUGUAUACAAUUUUUAUUUGUUAAUCUCAACAAAGAUAAAAAUAACUCAGAAGGCAGCCUAGAAAAGCUAAGGGGUACUGUAGUUGGGAGAUACCAGUCAAGGAAACUCUUUUCUUCUUUUGGAAUCCUCCUGCUGUUAUCCUAGUUAAGAAAGACUAGAACAGAAAAAACAGAUGUGCACAUACCACAAAUAAUGGAGGGGGCAUGUUUUUGUAGACCUGCUCCUACAUGUGAGCAGGGCUCAACCUGGGGUUGCAACCUGCAGGUGGGGAGCAUUCAUGGGAGAGGAGGCUGGGAACCUAGGAAGGAGGUUGCUUCUACAAGGUUUUCAUGUCUCAACAGAAAGCAUGAACUUCCACUGUUCCAUAGAAGGAAAGAAAUCACUAUGGAGUCCUAAUUAAGAAAGACACAAAAUUAGAGUCAGUUUUAUGGUUUUAUUGAAUACUAUCAUUCUCAUCUAAAGACCAGAUCUUUGAUACCUAAAGAGUUUUUGUUUCUUCUUGUUUCCCCAGGCAAAGGAGGUCCUCCAGAGCUUCCUACAUCCACUGUCUGCCAUAGAAAAUCCAUCGUGCAGUCAGAUAAAGCCCUCACUAAGGGAGAGAAGGCCAUAGCAGGUACAGGGGAGGUCGUAGCUCUCAGAGGGUGGGGAGGUUCCUGCACAGACCUUGACUGACUGGGCAAGAAAACCUUCCUGAAACCAGAAGCUUCCUCCUGCUAUGGAGCACAUGACCUGCUAAAUCUGAGAGCAAGAGGGGAGUCCAGCAAAUAGUUUUCCAUCACAAUUGCAAACAUACUGUCAUGGCUAUUGGGCAAAUUGAGAGAUUUCCCUCUUGCCUUUUCUGAAAUCACCUUGGUGUGCUACCUAGGAGGCUAGAAUGCAAGCCUGUUGUUUCUUCUCUCUUCUAAAAUCUUUGUGGAGCAGAGGAGCGGGCCAAGAAGGAGGCAGCUGAGAAGGAACAGGAGCUGCUAAGGCAGCAGCAGAAGGAGCAGCAGGAAAGGAUGGAGGCCCAAGAGAGAAGCUUCUGGGAAAAUAUGGUACAGAGAAGAUGGAGAGAGAAAGGGAGAACAUCCUGAGAGAGCAGGAAAGGGUGCUGGAGCACAAGCUGAAGGUGAGUCUCUACAGGGCCUGGCAGGAUGUGACAAACACUGCCUGAUAUCUCAGUUUGGGAUGGGACAAAAUGUUAGAUACAGACAGCAUUCCAAAGGGACACCCAGAAGGUAAAUGUUUCACUGACACGGACAUCUCAAGUGCACCUGGAUCCUAAUGAAGCCUAUAAAUCUAAGAGACUUCAACACUCUGUGUAUUGAUAGACUUUGGAGGGUACAAAUAAUAACCCCCUGGUGGUGGAUUACUCUUUGUUGAGAUUAUGUGCCCCAAUUGAGUAGGAUUCUGGCACAACCAUCCAAGAGACCUGAAACAGAUCCUUAUGGUCUGUAUGCAUCAGAUUUGGCCUCAUAUAAAAUUAGGACAGUGAAAGAUCAGAAAUUGUUCCACUUGCUGGUUCAUCUAUAUAAGUAGAGUAAAACAAACCUGUCUCAUAACCAGGAACUUGAUGACCAGUGUUCUGUACAAGGGCAGCAUUUCCCAUGAUUUGUUAGAGCAUCAUAGCCAUGCCACCUUGGUGGAUCUGAGAAUCAAUCAGAAUUCAACCUCAUUCUCCCCCACACAGCAUCCUUUGUGCUGGAAUAAAAUUCCUCUCCACUUCCAGUGAGUGUGAGGAAAUCUCACAAGUGUGUAAGCCCUGGGUACGCCCCCUCUUCAGGUCAAAAGUCUGAAAAUACCAAAGAAUAUUCUAAGGUGGUAGAGAAAUAGACAAAUGUGCUUAACUGCUGAAUUUGUUAAAUUCUGAAUUCUGGCAGUUAAUAACCAGAGAUUCUCAAAGGUGGACUCUUCCUCUUUUAUAGGUCCAAAAAGAAACUUUUUACUGAGGGAUUUAAAGAGAAAUCUGAGGCAUUAACUAAAGAGAUAAAUUUAAGAGAAGAGAUUGAAACAUGUAAAAAGAAGACACCCUUGAUAUUUUCACAGAUUCUUGAUAUAGCUCCAACUGUUUUCCUUGUAAUAGUCCCUGGGACUGGUAAAACUAGUUGGGGUAGGGAUGAAAAUUAUUAGUGCCAUUAAGAGUAGCCAGAGGAUUCCUAAUAGGAAAUCAUAAAAUGAGGCAUCUUUUAUUUUAAUAACAUUUUUCUAUGGUUCCUUUUAAAGGAGAUUGUGUCAUAUCAGUUUCAUUCAAGAAAAAUUUAAAAAUAAAAAGUAGUUAUCAAAGAAUAUGAGUUUAUCCCUAAGAGAAAUGAUUUUUAUUGAAUUGAAGUAAUAAGAAACAAUGAAGACAAUAUGAAAUGAUUUCUAAAAAAGUCUUAACUAAAGCAAAAAAGCUAAAUAGCAAUGUGAAGAAAAUAUUUGCAAUUCAUAUUUAGUCAUGAAAGUUUUUUAAGUCAUAUUGAGCUCUUGUGGAAAAUGACCAACAACCACAUUGUUUAAAUAGAAAGAAACAUGAAGAAAAUUUCAUUUUUACUAAAACUAAUGUGCAAAACAAAACUGAAGAACAUAGUUUUGUCUUCUUAAUGGGCAGUGAAGAACAGUUUUAGUAAUAUACAUCAAAAAUUAAAAUGCACAUACCUCUGAUCUAGCAAUUGCAUAUACAGGAAAUUCGCUUAUGUGACUUUUUACCCAAUUAUAAAUGAUUUUUGUAGUGGUUUACUUAUUUCAGUGUCAUGAUAAUUACAAAAGACUGGAAGCAACUGAAAGUCCCUGUGUCAGGUACUGAUAAGGGAAAUAAUAGGACAUAUUUUCAGAAUAAUACUCAAUAAUCAUUGUAAAAAGUUGGGGAGUUGUAGGGGUAGGGGAUCUCCAAGAUUUAGCAUUAAUGAAUGAAAAAUGUAGAAAAUGUGAAUACUUAAAUUUAUAAAAUAUUGAAUAUGCAUAUAUGUUAUAACCUACCUAUGGAAAAUACAAAACACUAGUGUAUAUGUCACAAUAGGAAGGCACCUGUAUAGUUGAGGUGAAAGAAGAGAGCACAACUAACUUUACAUCAUAUAUUCUUCCAUGUUUUUAACACUUUGUAUGGAUUUUUUACAUUCAAACAAAUACAAGUAUAAUUGGCAAAACUGAAAAUGAAAUAAUAUGUGUUUGGAAAAUUCCCAGGACAGGAUGAAAGUGGGUUUAGUACUACUAGAAAUAGCAAAAUUUCGCUCGACUAGAAAAGACUGCUUCUAAGAACAAGGAACUAGAAAGCACAAGACAUCCUGAUUUUUUGAUUUUCGUUAUGACCUUUCAAUAAGGCCUUUAACAUCUAUUCCACAGAAUAUGCUUUUCAAACUUAGGUUUAAGGCGAACUGGAUCCAAGGGUUGCAACCAUUGAAUCCUUCUGUCAAGUGUUACCCUGACCUUGAUCCCCUUCCAUCCUUACUCCAACCCUUUUCCUGUGGAUUGCUUUCUCCAUGAUGGCUUCAGUCUUCAAACCACUCAUACCCUCUGGAACCACAGCACCAACAGCUACAAAAUUAGAACCCUCCAUCUAUAAGUACAGAGAUUCUCUCUUUCCCAGGAUCUCUACAUACCUCCUAAAAGCUCUCUUGCUAGAAGAUCUCAUGACUGCUGAUCCUGAUGCAUGUGCCUGCUCAGUGACAGGGAGUCCUGACCACCAGCCCUACUUCAUCCGAGUGGAAUAGUACCUGGUGGAAAAGGCCAUGCGAAAAAGGACAAGAACAAACUCAGCACUUCCACUGUUCUCUGAACUCUUACGGCUGAAGAAAUUCUGCACAAAUAUUUGCUGUCCUAGGAGUCUGUGAGUGAUGCAACUUCACAGACAGAUAAGACUCUCACAGAAAAGGAAAGGAGAUCAAACGUGAGCAGAGACCAAGAGACUACAUACUCAAAAAAGUCUCUUUAAAGUUUAAAUAUUUGGAUGAAACUGUUACCAUUAAACUAAGUAAAAAUCACAUAGACUGUCUUGGCUCCUGAAGCCAUUUCUGAGAAUGUUGUAUGCAGUCACUAGCAUCAUGGCUACCCCAUCGAAAAAUAGUCCUAGAACAUUCCCGCUGUCUAUUACAUGUAACAUCAGUGUAAUGAUAAAAACUUUACAAAAAGAUCUUCUGAAGAACCAAUCUGCAGCUUUGGGAGGUCCUGCUCUGUGAAACAGUGGGGACAGCAAUGGCUAAGUUGUACAGUGGACUCUGGCCUUGAAAUGAGAUGGGGCAGAAUCCUCUCCAGAGUUGGGAGAAACACAGUAGGUUCUCACCCUGAGCAGGGCACAGCUGGCCUGAGCUUCCAGGCCUGCCAUUCCUCAUGCCUUCUUCAUAGAAGGGUAUCAGGUGCUGUUCCUUCUCCUGGCCCAUCCCAUACUCUAGACCCCACAGACUUUAUCAUUUAUAUCAACCCUUGUGUCAGUUAACAAAUGCUUCUUUAUACAUUCACAGACAAACCUCCCAUAUCACCACCUGUCCAGGUGAUUCCUCCAGAUUAGGACAAUUCACAUGCUUUUUAGUCACCCAUGGGCAUAAACUGGGAUCAACAUCCAAACACACAGCAUGCUGUUUAUUGUAAUUAGCUGAGGUAAGUUGCAGGAAUAAAUAACAUCCCACACAAGUUCCAAGCUGCUAUUGUCAUCAAUUUUUGUCUCUCUAAUUUGUGAGCAGGAUAAAGCACCUUUUCUAGUUCCAGUGGCUGCCAUAACCCAGGUUUCUCUCCCAGUAUGAGGCCCAGUACAACUCUUCAUUCCAAGCAAACUUGUUUAUCUAAACAUCAUAAUGUACAUGGUUAUGCAAAUAACUGAUCUGUGCCCAGUUGAAUCCUUUUAUGUAAGUUUUGUACACAGUUAGUUCAUAUUAACCAAAUAACAACUGGUCUAACAAGUUAGUGACCAGUUGAAGAUUCAUACCUAAUGUUUCAGAAGUUACCCAGAA